CAGUCGCCGCGGGAAUACGUAGGGUGCAAGCGUUAAUCGGAAUUACUGGGCGUAAAGCGUGCGUAGGCGGUUUGUUAAGUCUGUUGUGAAAUCCCCGGGCUCAACCUGGGAAUUGCAGUGGAUACUGGGUCACUAGAGUGUGGUAGAGGAUAGUGGAAUUUCCGGUGUAGCAGUGAAAUGCGUAGAGAUCGGAAGGAACAUCUGUGGCGAAGGCGACUAUCUGGGCCAACACUGACACUGAGGCACGAAAGCGUGGGGAGCAAACAGGAUUAGAUACCCCCGUAGUCCCUGUCUCUUAUAC
Molecule: ribosomal RNA, 301 nt
Filed under: uncultured bacterium
Lineage: Bacteria
Description: partial 16S ribosomal RNA
Rfam family: Bacterial small subunit ribosomal RNA
Source: RNAcentral